This 237-nucleotide ribosomal RNA is filed under the name uncultured bacterium. RNAcentral's name for it is "partial 16S ribosomal RNA". It matches the Rfam family "Bacterial small subunit ribosomal RNA", at positions 524 to 775 of the family's 1533-position model. The record is from RNAcentral.
UACGAAGGGGCGAGCGUUGUUCGGAAUUACUGGCGUAAAGCGCGUGUAGCGGAUGGCAAGUCUGCUGUGAAGCUCCUGGCUUAACCGGAGUGGUCGGUGGAACUGCCAAUCUGGAGGACGGUAGAGGUAGGUAGAAUUCCGGUGUAGUGGUGAAAUGCGUAGAGAUCGGAGGAUACCUGUGGCGAAGCGGUCUCUGGACAGUUCCUGACACUGAGACACGAAGCCAGGGAGCAACGG